GACGAACGCUGGCGGCGUGCUUAACACAUGCAAGUCGAACGGAAAGGCCCCUUUGGGGGUACUCGAGUGGCGAACGGGUGAGUAACACGUGAGUAACCUGCCCUUGACUUCGGGAUAACUUCAGGAAACUGGGGCUAAUACCGGAUAGGAAUCCUUGCUGCAUGGUGGGGGUUGGAAAGCUUCGGCGGUUUUGGAUGGACUCACGGCUUAUCAGCUUGUUGGUGGGGUAGUGGCUUACCAAGGCUUUGACGGGUAGCCGGCCUGAGAGGGCGACCGGCCACAUUGGGACUGAGAUACGGCCCAGACUCCUACGGGAGGCAGCAGUGGGGAAUAUUGCACAAUGGGCGGAAGCCUGAUGCAGCAACGCCGCGGGCGGGAUGACGGCCUUCGGGUUGGAAACCGCUUUCAGCAGGGGCGAAGCUUGUGGUGACGGUACCUGCAGAAGAAGCACCGGCUAACUACGUG
RNAcentral lists this ribosomal RNA (465 nucleotides) under uncultured bacterium. Its description in RNAcentral is "partial 16S ribosomal RNA". It matches the Rfam family "Bacterial small subunit ribosomal RNA", at positions 28 to 507 of the family's 1533-position model. The record is from RNAcentral.